RNAcentral lists this ribosomal RNA (372 nucleotides) under uncultured bacterium. RNAcentral's name for it is "bacterial SSU rRNA". It matches the Rfam family "Bacterial small subunit ribosomal RNA", at positions 525 to 896 of the family's 1533-position model. The record is from RNAcentral.
ACGAACCGAGCGAACGUUGUUCGGAAUCACUGGGCUUAAAGGGUGCGUAGGCGGGCUGCCAAGUUUGGGGUGAAAUCCUCCGGCUCAACCGGGGAAGUGCCUUGAAUACUGGCGGUCUGGAGGGAGGUAGGGGCGUGCGGAACUAACGGUGGAGCGGUGAAAUGCGUUGAUAUCGUUAGGAACUCCGGUGGCGAAGGCGGCACGCUGGACCUCAUCUGACGCUGAGGCACGAAAGCCAGGGGAGCGAACGGGAUUAGAUACCCCGGUAGUCCUGGCCCUAAACGUUGAGAACUAGGUAGUAGGCCGGACAUGGGCUUACUGCCGGAGCAAAAGUGCUAAGUUCUCCGCCUGGGGAGUAUGGUCGCAAGGCUG